Long non-coding RNA from Saccostrea cuccullata (small rock oyster), 283 nucleotides. RefSeq lists it as uncharacterized. The transcript is spliced from 3 exons. The record is from RefSeq and is a predicted model, not a curated record. NCBI's taxonomy places the organism in Eukaryota, Metazoa, Mollusca, Bivalvia, Ostreida, Ostreidae.
AAAAACUUACUCCACUAAAGUGGACAUUGAGGAUGAUCAUUGAUGAUAGGUUCAAGCUGAAUUUUUUAAGCUUGGUACUGAGGAUAUUGAAGAGAAAAUAGAAUGUGACAAUGAACAGUGUCCAGCUGUUUCUCAACACACCUCAGGGGUGGAAGAGCAAUCCAGUCAGAAUACCGAGUUUUGUCUGAGUCAGUCAUCCUAAGGAACUGUAUGUGACUACUGGAGACGACCCACAUACUAUCGAGAAAAGCUAAACAGGAGUAUGAAACUGUCUAAUGGUAAA